This 862-nucleotide ribosomal RNA is filed under the name Discinella terrestris. Its description in RNAcentral is "eukaryotic LSU rRNA". The stretch from base 543 to 696 matches the Rfam family "5.8S ribosomal RNA". The record is from RNAcentral. Lineage: Eukaryota; Fungi; Ascomycota; Leotiomycetes; Helotiales; Discinellaceae.
AGGAAUCUUUCCGUAGCACUCUCGGAAGCCUUUGCAAGCCCUGCGGGGUCCCGCGACUAUAAACACCGGGUAGCAAGUGGCCUAACUGGCCGCAACAUGAUCGAAUUGCGGGGACAUCCUAAAGCCCACGGUACCACCCGCUCGCGGAAACGCGAGCCGGGCCUCUACGCCCCGUAGAGGAGGGUUAUAACCCGUAGGGAUGUACAAUGGACGAUCCGCAGCGAAACCCCUACGGCUCUGGCUACGGGGGACGUUCACAGACUAAGUGGUUAUGGGUAGGGCCUUUAGGGCCCUGCUUCGAUAUGGUCGGCCUAUGGGGAAACCCAAUAGACAGCUUCAACGUUCCGUAGGUGAACCUGCGGAAGGAUCAUUAACAGAGUUCCUGCCCCCACGGGUAGAAACCCCCACCCUUGCGUAUUGUAUAUUUGUUGCUUUGGCGGGCCGCCUAUAGGCUCUCUAUACCGGCUUCGGCUGGGCCGCGCCCGCCAGAGGACCCUAAAUUCUUAUAUUUCAGUGAAGUCUGAGUACUAUCUAAUAGUUAAAACUUUCAACAACGGAUCUCUUGGUUCUGGCAUCGMUGAAGAACGCAGCGAAAUGCGAUAAGUAAUGUGAAUUGCAGAAUUCAGUGAAUCAUCGAAUCUUUGAACGCAUAUUGCGCCCCUUGGUAUUCCGAGGGGCAUGCCUGUUCGAGCGUCAUUAUCGACCAUCCAGCACGGCUGGGUCUUGGGCGCCGCCCCCUAGGGGCGGGCCUUAAAAUCCGUGGCGGUGCCGCUAGGCCCCGAGCGUAGUAAAUACCCUCGCUACGGGAGCCUGACGGACGCUAGCCAGCAACCCCCCUUAUUCAAUCAGGUUGACCUCGGAU